This 313-nucleotide long non-coding RNA is filed under the name Homo sapiens (human). RNAcentral's name for it is "non-protein coding lnc-GLI2-4:3". Lineage: Eukaryota; Metazoa; Chordata; Mammalia; Primates; Hominidae. The record is from RNAcentral.
UUCUUGGCUCGCACCGCGCACGGUUGACAGUUGGGCUGGGAAAUGUACCCGCGGCUUAAUUAGGGCAUCGCCAGACCUGCCAAGCUCCAGCUCCUCCCCUUCGCGAUUGCCGCGACCCCAGGGACCCCCGGGACCCCCAGGGCAUGCCCCACGCUGUGGGAGGGCGCCUCGCUGCUCCUGAGGCUGUACCAUCAGUGCUCCACCCGUGUGCCCCGCCUCAUAGAAACCUGUCCUGGCCAAGGCAUACCUAUGACCUGUCCUACAGAAAUGUAACAGGACCCACUGUGCACCUGCACUCUUCUAGACUCAGACG